CAAAGUGCUUACAGUGCAGGUAGC
Molecule: non-coding RNA, 24 nt
Filed under: Gallus gallus (chicken)
Lineage: Eukaryota; Metazoa; Chordata; Aves; Galliformes; Phasianidae
Also listed under: 4 other names
Source: RNAcentral